This 7987-nucleotide long non-coding RNA is filed under the name Homo sapiens (human). RNAcentral describes it as "HSALNT0124282". The stretch from base 6778 to 6894 matches the Rfam family "Metazoan signal recognition particle RNA". The record is from RNAcentral. Lineage: Eukaryota; Metazoa; Chordata; Mammalia; Primates; Hominidae.
GUGAAGGUGGGAGGUGAAAUGGACUAUCGCUCUUUGGAGGUCGAGUGUACACUGCCCCAUCCGUGUUCCCAGGCUUCCUGUGAAGUGGGAGGGUGCCGUCCUUAUUCUGCUGAUGAGGAAAGAGAGGCUUGGACGGCGAAGUAACCCAGCUCCAGGUCACUCAGCCAGUGCACAGCCCGGAUUGUUUCCUUCACUGACUCCUAACGCAGUGCUCCGUGUAUUUCAUCACCACCCUUCAGGCCGUGGGGACCAAGGGCCGAAGGGGUGCGGCCUGAGGCGGCCGGGACACUGCGCCUAGGUGGCGCGGUGGCAUUGAAUGGGUUAAGGAGGGGAGGUGGCGGGUGUCCCUUAACUGCACCUGGCCCAGUAUCGGUCACGUGGCCAGGGUUUCACCUGCCCCGCUGAGCAGGGACAAUCAGGCUGCUUGUUUUGUGGCCGGUCGCCAUGGUGACAGCAGCUUGCCAGGGGCGGUCAUGGGGCAAAUUCCUGCUGGCCAGCCGGGUGGGGCAGGAGUGUCAGCUGUGCUGGCACCAGUCGGGGCUUCCCGAAAGACCCCUGGAGCUUUCCCGUGGGGCUGUCCCUGGGGGGCCCCUAUGUGACUCCGCUCGAAACCUCCUCCCAUCUCAACCCCCACAUCAGCCCAGCUUCUCUCCUCCCAGAUUUUGAACCUGAGUUGAUGUAUUAAGCAGCCGGGAUUUUCAUAUACGUUAUUGUGUUUAAUCCUCACACAGCAACCUUUCCCAUGUGGGAAUGGUAAUCCCUGCAGGUCUGCUGCCGGCUGCGCCUCCCCUACUACUCACCCAACACUUUGAGAACACUGGCUCCUUCCUGCCUUGCUUCAACAAGCCCAGAUCCAUUAGAGCCUCUCACUGCACGCCAAGCACCUUCCUAGACGCAGCCGUGAACAAAACAACAAAUUAAUCUCACAACAAAGGAUUAUGUCCGAGUAUUUAUUUUCUUCGGAACAGGUUCAGAGCAGACACAGUGCAGCCUGCGGAACUGGAGGGGCUGUUGACACAGGAUGAUGGAUGUCUUGUCAUUGCUGCUAGAGGGCUGGAUGCUGUACAACUCCCUGCAGGCUCCCUCCUCUCUAAGCAAAUCUGGCCCUGUUGAGUAUGCAGGAAUUGUGGCCCAGUCUCAGGAGGACUGAGGUUAAACUUGUUUCCAGGCGUGACCCACCGCACCCAGCCCCGAUUUACACUUUCAAAGGACUAUUUGGCUGUGUAGAAGAAGGUGUGAGGCAGAUUAGAGGGGAAGCAGAGGAGAAGCGGCAAAAUGAGGAAGCUAUUGCAGACAUUCAACUGAGGCAUGAUGGUCACAUGACUGGAAGGUGGCUGUGGAAGUAGGGAAAGAAAGAUAGAUUUGGGAUGUAUUUUGGAGUUCGAAUCAACAGGAUUUGAUGAGGAAUGGGAUGGGGAGGGGGAAAGAUGGUGGUGAGGGAGAGGAAGACACCAAGGACAGCUCCCAGGUUUCUGGAUUGAACAUGUGGGUGGCGAGUAGUUGUGCUAUUUACUGAGAUGGGGAAGGUGGUUUUGUUUGUUUGUUUUUUUCCACUCUAUAGGGUGCAAGUAAGGAGACUCUAGAAUGUCCACUUGGGACAUUCUAGCAGUUACCGAAUGUCAAUAAAAACUUAGAUGUGCAAUGACAUUAUUUUCUGUAAUUCAUCUUAGCUUUCACCCCAGUGCUGUAGGGGGCCUGCCCCUCCACACCUGUGGGUAUUUCUCGUCAGGUGGGACGAGAGACUGAGAAAAUAAAUAAGACAGAGACAAAGUAGAGAGAAAGAACAGUGGGCCCAGGGGAUCAGCGCUCAGCAUACGGAGGACCCGCACCGGCACUGGUCUCUGAGUUCCCUCAGUAUUUAUUGAUUAGUAUUUUCACUAUCUCGGCAAGGGGAAUGCAGCAGGAGAACAGGGUGAUAGUGGGGAGAAGGUCAGCAGGAAAACGUGAGCAAAGGAAUCUAUGUCACAAAUAAGUUCAAGGGAAGGUACUGUGCCUGGAUGUGUACAUAGGCUAGAUUUAUGCUUCUCUCCACCCAAACAGCUCAGUGUAGUAAAAAAUUACAGCGCAGCAUUGCCGCCAGCAUAUCUUGCCUCCAGCCACAGGGCGGUUUUCUUCUAUCUCAGAAUAGAACAAAUGUACGAUCGGGUUUUACACUGAGACAUUCUGUUUCCAGGGACAAGCAAGAGACAGAGGCCUUCCUCUUAUCUCAACCGCAAGAGGCCUUCCUCUUUUACUAAUCCUCCUCAGCACAGACCCUUUUUUGGGUGUUGGGCUGGGGGACGGUCAGUUCUUUCCCUUCCCACGAGGCCACAUCUCAGGCUGUCUCAGUGGAGGGAAACUUUGGACAAUGCCCAGGCUUUCUUAGGCAGAGGUCCCUGCGGCUUUCCGCAGUGCAUUGUGCCCUUGGUUAAUCGAGACUGGAGAAUGGCGAUGACUUUUACCAAGCAUACUACCUGUAAACAUAUUGUUAACAAGGCACAGCCUGCACAGCCCUAGAUCCCUUAAACCUUGAUGCCAUACAGCACAUGUUUCUGUGAGCACAGGGUCGGGGCUAAAGUUUACGGAUUAACAGCAUCUCAAGGCAAAACAAUUUUCUUAGUACAGAUCAAAAUGGAGUUUCUUAUGUCUUCCUUUUCUACAUAGACACAGUAACAGUCGGAUCUCUCUCUUUUCCCUAUACAAUGCUCUAUAUGUUUGAGAUGCCCCUGAGAUAUUAGAACAGUUAACACUUAUGGAAUGCUUAACAAAUGCCAAGCACUGUUCUUGUUACCAAAACAGCAGGGGUUCAGGCGAGGUCCUGCUGCUUGCCGCACAGAAAGCCAAUCACUGAGACGAUUAUUGCCAAGGAAGAAGGCUUUAAUUGGGUGCUGUGGCUGAGAUGGGAGAUUGGUCUCAAAUCCAUCUCCCUGAUCGACUGAAGUUAGGGUCUUAUAUAGCAGGGAACAAAUGUAACCAUGUAUGGGAAAACAAGAACUUGGGGGAAGGGUAAGGAAGCAAUCAUGAUGAAUGAGGGGCCUGGCAUUUCAUUGUCUAGAUGCCAUGAUCUGGUGAGUUUCAGUUCUUUCAUACUUUUUGAGAGGGCUGAUGGUCAUUUCCUAAAGAAGAAAUUCAGAUCAAGUAAAUGUAAGUUUCAAGCGUGAGCCACCGCGCCCAGCCAGAAAGUGGUUUCUUGAGAUGGAAACUACUCCUGGUGAAGAUUGUGUGAACACUGUUGAAAUGACAACAAAGGAUUUAUAAUAUCCUAUAAACUUGGUUGAUCAGCCAUCUAAGUUUUAUAGUUUUAGAUCUUAUAUUUAGGUCUUUGAUCCAUUUUGAGUAAAUUUUUUUAUAUGGUGUUAAGGAACCAACUUCAUUUUUUUGCAUGCAAAUAUCCAGUUUUCCCAGCAUUAUCUGUGAAAAGAUUGCCCAUUCCUCACUGAGUGGUUUUGGUAUCCUUAUUGAAAAUUAUUUGACUUCAUAUAUGAGUGUUUAUUUCUGAGCUUUUUAUUCUAUUCCAUUGGUCUAUAUGUCUGUCUUCAUGCCAGUACCACUGUUUUGAUUACUGUAGCUUUGUAGUAAGUUUUGAAAGCAGAAAGUAUGAGUCCUCCAACUUUGUUCUUUUUUUUUCUGAGACAGAGUCUCACUCUGUCACCCAGGUUGGAGUGCAGUGGUGCAAUCUCAGCUCACUGCAACCGCCACCUCCCAAGUUCAAACAAUUCUUGUUCCUCAGCCUUCUGAGUAGCUGGGAUUACAGGCUCGCACCACCAUGCCUGGCUAAUUUUUGUAUUUUUAGUAGAGACGGUGUUUCACCAUGUUGGCCAGGCUGGUCUUGAGCUCCUGACCUCAGGUGAUCCGCCUGCCUCGACCUCCCAAAGUGCCGGGAUUACAGGCAUGAGCCACCGCGCCUGGCCUCUUACUGUUUCUGGAUAUGAAUUUCCUGCUUCAAUCAGGUCAGCCUCUGCUCACUCUUGUGCAUAUCAUUUUUCUGCCUUGUGCAUAUCAUUUUUCUCCUUGCUGUUGCCCAUCAGUGAAUCCUGCUUGGGAAGGCUUCCCCUCUUAGCUCUGCCCAUCUCAAACUUACUUAUUUAAGACUCAGAAGCAUACUUAUAGGUUGGGCAUGGUGGCUCACGCUUGUAAUUCCAGCAUUUUGGGAGGGUGAGGUGGGCGGAUCACUUGAGCCCAGGAGUUCCAGACCAGCCUGGGCAAUAUGACAAAACCCUGUCUCUAUUUAAAAAAAGAAAUUUAGGCCGGGCGCAGUGGUUCAUGCCUAUAAUCCGAGCACUUUGGGAGGCCGAGGUGGGCGGAUCACAAGGUCAGGAGAUCGAGACCAUCCUGGCUAACAUGGUGAAACCCCGUCUCUGCUAAAAAUACAACAACAACAAAAAAUUAGCCGGGUGUGGUGGCAGGCACCUGUAGUCCCAGAUACUUGGGAGGCUGAGGCAGGAGGAUAGCAUGAACCCGGGAGGCAGAGCUUGCAGUGAGCUGAGAUGGCGCCACUGCACUCCAGCCUGGGCAACCAAGCGAGACUCCAUCUCAAAAAAAAAAAAAAAAAAAAAAAAAAAAGAAAUGUAAUUAAAAAACAACAACAACAACAACCAGCCCUGCAGCACUAUUCACAAUAGCAAAGGCAUGGAAUCAACCUAAAUGCCCAUCAGUGAUAGACUGGAUAAAGAAAAUGUGGUACAUAUACACCAUGGAGUACUAUGCAGCUAUAAAAAAGAAUGAGAACGUGUCUUUUUCAGGAACAUGGAUGGAGCUUGAGGCUGUUAUCCUUAGCAAACUAACACAGGAGCAGAAAACCAAAUAGCGUAUGUUCCUGCUUAUAAGUGGGAGCUAAAUGAUAAGAACUUAUGAACACAAAGAGGGAAACAACAGACACUGGUGUCUACUUGAGGGUGAGGGUGGGAGGAGGGAGAGGAGCAGAAAAGAUCACUAUUGGGUACUGGGCUUACUUGGGUGACAAAAUAAUCUGUUCAACAAACUCCUGUGACACGUGUUUACCUAUGUAAGAAACCUUCAUAUGUAUCCCCAAACCUAAAAUAAAAGUUAAUUAAAAAACCCAACCAAACCAAAAACCGGCCAGGCGUGGUGGCUCACGGCUGUAAUCCCCACACUUUGGGAGGCCAAGGUGGGCAGAUCACUUGAGGUUAGGAGUUUGAGAGCAGAUGGGCCAACAUGAUGAUACACCAUCUCUACUAAAAAUACAAAAAGUUUGGCUGGGGAUGGUGGCUCACGCCUCUAACCCCAGCACUUUGGGAGGCCAAGCCAGGAGGAUCACCUGAGGUCAGGAGUUCGAGACUGGCCUGGCCAACAUGGCAAAACACUGUCUCUACUAAAAUUACAAAAAUUAGGCGUGCUGGUGGGUGCCUGUAAUCAUAGCUACUUGGGAGGCUGAGGCAGCAGAAUUGCUUGAAUCCGGUAGGUGGAGGUUGCAGUGAACCGAGAUCGUGCCAUUGUACUCCAGCCUGGGCGACAAGAGGUAAACUCUGUCUCAGAAAAACCCCCAAAGUUAGCUGGGCAUGGGGGUGGGUGCCUGUAAUCCCAGCUACUUGAGAGGCUGAAGCGGGAGAAUUCCUUAAACCCGGGAGGCGGAGGUUACAGUGAGCUGAGAUCGCACCACUGCAUCCUAGCCUGGGCCAGAGAGCGAGACCCCGUCUCAAAGAAAACAAUAACAACAACAAAAAACUAAAAAACCAAAACCAAAACAAAAAAACCCUACUUAUUCAAGGCUGUCUAUGAAGUCUUUUUAGACUGUUAUACCCCUCUAUGACCUUUGAACUCUUCUGGACCCAAUCUGCUAUUCCUUGAUUGCACAUAAGACAUAAUUAAUUUAUUUUCCAAACUGCAUGAUGGGCGCGGGCCUUGUCUUCCCUUUACAGAGCAUCAGCUCUGAGCAGGGCAUUCUGCUAGGCUCAGGGCAUACUGAGGAUGACAAGAUGCUUAGGGGUUGCUCCCUGACAGAGCAUGGUCUGGGGGUAGAGGAAAGAUAAGCUAAGAGGUGAUUCUGGACCAGUGUAACAAAUAGCAUCGAAUGGUCAUGGUUGCGGGAUGCACAGGAGUCAGGGAACCGUUCUCAACUGAGAUGUGAAAUGACCUCUUUUUUUUUUUUUUUUCUUUUUUGAGAUCGAGUCUCACUUUGUCACCCAGGCAGUGCAGUAGUGCAAUCUCGGCUCACUGCAACCUCCGCCUCCCGGGUUCAAGCAGUUCUCCUCCUCAGCCUCCCGAGUAGCUGGGAUUACAGGCGCCCGCCACCACGCCUGGCUAAUUUUUUUGUAUUUUUAGUAGAGAUGGGGUUUUACCAUGUUGGCCAGGCUGGUCUCGAACUCCUGGCCUCAAGUGAUCCACCUGCUUUGGCCUUCCAAAGUGCAGGGAUUACAGGCGUGAGCCACUGUACCCGGCUGAAUGAUUUCUCUCUUUCUUUUUUUUUUUUUUCCCUGAGCAAUCUUGCUCUCUUGCCCGGGUACAGAGCAGUGGCACGAUUAUAGCUCACUGCAGUCUUGACCUUAUAUGCUCAAGUGAUCCUCUCACUUCAGCCUCCCAAAUAGCUAGGACUAUAGGCAUGUGCCACCAUGCCUGGUUAAUUUUUAACAUUUUUUGUAGAGAUGGGGGUCUUGCUAUGUUGCCCUGGCUGGUCUCAAGUGAUCAACUUCUGGGCUCAAAGUGAUCCUCCCACCUUGGCCCCCCAAAGCGCUUGUAUUACAGGCAUGAACCACCAGGCCUAGGCUAUAAAGUGAUCUCUAAGCUUGGCAAGUAGAGUGGGGUAAGAUUGGAUAAACUGCCAAGAAGAGAGAACUUGUGGCCAGGCAUGAUGGCUCAUGCCUGUAAUCCCAGCACUUUGGGAGGCCGAGGCGGGAGGAUCACCUGAGGUCAGGAGUUUGAGACCAGCCUGGCCAAUAUGGUGAAACCCCACUUCUACUAAAAAUACAAAAUUUAGCCAGAUGCAGUGGCACGUGCCUAUAAUCCCAGCUACUCAGGAGGCUGAGGCUGGAGAAUUGCUUGAACCCAGGAGUGAGCUGAGAUUGUGCCACUGCACUCCAGCCUAGGUGACAGAGCAAGACUCUGUCUCAAAAAAAAGAAGAGAGGGCCGGGCAUGGUGGCUUACACCUGUAAUCCCAGCACUUUGGGAGGCUGAGACGGGCGGAUCAUCUGAGGUCAGGAGUUCGAGACCAGCCUGGCCAACAUGCUGAAACCCCUGUCUCUACUAAAAAAAUACAAAAAUUAGCCGGGCGUGGUGGCAUGUGCCUGUAAUCCCAGCUACUCAGGACGCUGAGGCUGGAAAAUCACUUGAACCCAAGAGGCAGAGGUUGCAGUGGGCUGAGAACGUGCCACUGUACUCCAGCCUGGGCAACAGAGCAAAACUCUUUUCUCUAGAGACGAAGAAGAGAGAACUUGUGCUGAAGCCUAUGGUCCAGAGAGUGCAGGGAGAGUGCAGGGUUUUUGAGGAGAGAAAGGAUGUCGAGUGGGGUUGAGCUUGGUGGCUGGGAUGUGGAAGGGCAGUUUGGGGAGCACAGGUGGAAACAGAGAGGCGAGCAUGGCCUGUGCUCACAGGGGCUCCUAAGGCAUGGCAUGAAGUCUGAGUGGGAUCUGGAGGGCCAUCUGGGGGUAGAGGGCCUGAAGGAUUUUAAGUAGGGGAAUGACAUGGUCAGACUCAGGAUUGCACUGCGACUAAUGGCUUGGAAAGGGGCAUAGCUAGGUUGGGAGUGUAGGGAGGGAGCCUGGGGACCAGAAACCCUCUCCAGGCUGUUACAGAAAGAGGGUGGUGUCCUGGCUGAAGUUGCGGCGGUGCGAGUGGAGAAUAGAGGUCGAUGCAUCCAGACAUAAAGAGAAGGUUGACAGUUUAGGGACUGGUUAUUUUAUUUUAUUUUUUUUUGAGACUGAGUCUUGCUCCGUCGCCCAGGCUGGAGUGCAGUGGCGUUAUCUUGGCUCACUGCAAUCUCUGCCUCCUGGUUUCAAGCGAUUCUCCUGCCUCAGCCUCCCAAGUAGCUGGAAUUAUAGGCGUGUGCCACCA